GGCGAUAGAGGAGUUCCCUCUUGGAACGGGAUUGGAUCGAGAUAGGUAAUGAGGCGCGAAUCAUUGUUUCUGGCAAGAGCUAGUGGCUUCAUGUUAGGCCAAUAGAUGAAUCUGCCUUGCGGAGUAGAUGUGAUUACCAGGGCUGAUAAAGGCGUCUCCUCGUCCGAGGAGUAGUCAAGGUCCUUGAUCCCAUCCGAGUUGGAUUGGAAUCUGGACAUGGCCGCCUGAUAGACAGUGG
RNAcentral lists this long non-coding RNA (238 nucleotides) under Setaria viridis. RNAcentral describes it as "long non-coding RNA (SVIR_LNC008851)". The record is from RNAcentral. Lineage: Eukaryota; Viridiplantae; Streptophyta; Magnoliopsida; Poales; Poaceae.